CGGCUCCUUGGCAGAGGAGUUGAUUGUGUUUUCGGCUGGAUACUAAAUCCAAAAACUAUGUAAAAAUGUCAAUAGAAGGUUGGAGUUUUAAUGAUGCAGGCGGCUCCGGGGGCCAGGCUGGGCAGCAUGGCCUGCACCUUGGCUGACGGGCUGGGGGACCCUGGCUGCCCACCUCAGGAAGGACUGAAAUUAGUCUUGCUUGGAGGCAGGGUCCUGAUCACAAGCAACUCUGGAAGGUCAGAAAAAGAUGGAUCCACUGGGAUUCAGAGAAGAUAGACCUGCCUGAGGUCAUACACCUGGCUCGCAUGUGCCUACCUUUGACUCUUGUUAAUUAAUGGAAGAUCUCUGUGUCUCCAUUUCCUCAUCUGUAAAAUGGGGAUAACAGUAGUUCCACCGCACAGGGCUGCUGGAGCAUGCUUGGAAACGACUUGUGUAAGGGCUUGCUGUUUGCUUGGCAUACAGUAAAUGUCCAAUAAGUAGCAGUUCUCUUUCUUGUAGUAAAAUUCUCCAGUCUGGGAUCCAGGCUCCAG
Non-coding RNA from Heterocephalus glaber (naked mole-rat), 530 nucleotides. NCBI's taxonomy places the organism in Eukaryota, Metazoa, Chordata, Mammalia, Rodentia, Bathyergidae. The record is from RefSeq and is a predicted model, not a curated record.